RNAcentral lists this ribosomal RNA (466 nucleotides) under uncultured bacterium. Its description in RNAcentral is "partial 16S ribosomal RNA". It matches the Rfam family "Bacterial small subunit ribosomal RNA", at positions 28 to 507 of the family's 1533-position model. The record is from RNAcentral.
GACGAACGCUGGCGGUGUGCUUAACACAUGCAAGUCGAACGGUAAGGCCCUUUCGGGGGUACACGAGUGGCGAACGGGUGAGUAACACGUGAGUAACCUGCCCUCAUCUCUGGGAUAACAGUCGGAAACGGUUGCUAAUACUCGAUAUGAGCUUGCAAGGCAUCUUGUGGGUUGGAAAGAUUUUUUUGGUUGGGGAUGGACUCGCGGCCUAUCAGCUUGUUGGUGAGGUAGUGGCUCACCAAGGCUUCGACGGGUAGCCGGCCUGAGAGGGCGACCGGCCACAUUGGGACUGAGAUACGGCCCAAACUCCUACGGGAGGCAGCAGUGGGGAAUAUUGCACAAUGGACGGAAGUCUGAUGCAGCAACGCCGCGUGCGGGAUGACGGCCUUCGGGUUGUAAACCGCUUUCAAUUGUGACGAAGCUUUUUGUGACGGUAGCAGUAGAAGAAGCACCGGCUAACUACGUG